This 2622-nucleotide long non-coding RNA is filed under the name Cucumis sativus (cucumber). RNAcentral describes it as "long non-coding RNA (CSAT_LNC000795)". Lineage: Eukaryota; Viridiplantae; Streptophyta; Magnoliopsida; Cucurbitales; Cucurbitaceae. The record is from RNAcentral.
AUCAUGAUAAAGAUCCAUGAGUUCACAAUUUCAUACAGAUAACUUUCAAUGGCUGGUGUCAAGCAAAGGAACAAGUUUAUAAUAAUACAAAGUACGCAUUUUGAGGGGGUUGGGGAAGCUGGAUCAGCACACCUUGUAACAGGUAUCCUUCCCGUUAUUUUUUCACUAAAGGAGAAUGAAUGCCAUAAAUACUGUUUCUAAUUUCCCCCCUUUAUUCCAAUGAACUGAAUCCGAAUUCAUGGGGUUGAAUUCUAUGAUGGCUGCAAAUGACACCAUCAGGGCAUGUAUCUAAACUGUCAACUACUUUAAAAAUCAAAAUGAGUUGAGUUAGAACAGAGGAUGUACACUGAGCUCAUUUUGUACAAUUACAUUUACAGCACUGUAUUGAGAGGGAGAAACACCAAGAACCUAAAUUGCUACCUGACUAACCCAAUUCAUUUGCAAUUUCAAGAUGGGUUCUUCACAAUCUUAACAUUGCUGUAGAAACGCUUCAGGUCCUUUAUAGCCUUCUCCUCGAUUUGAAUUGAACGAAUCGAUGAUGGUGUGUCAACUUCUGGUUUGAACCAGCGGUUUAUUCCACUGGAAUCUGAUGGAGAGCCUUGACCAGAAGUAAUUGAAAAGCCAGCUGUUCUCACCUUUGGACUAUUUGAUAGUACUUGUUGUUUUCCUUUCUGCGAGAUAAGAAAAACAAACAGCAGUGUCAGAUUUCUGCUAGAAUAAAUUAAGAAUUGACUUCAACUUUGAACUAAUCCAAAAAAACAGAGAGAUCAAAAGCUGGCCUACCUGCUGCAUCUGAAUGUCCCUGAGAGAUGGCCGAGAAGGGGGAGGAGUGCCAGACGCAGACCAGGGAGGAGUGUUUCUUUCUCCAUCAGUAGCUUGAAAGGCUUGACUCGGGACGACAGGUAUUGGCUUGGAAGACAAAAAUGAAGCAAAUCGAAUUUUCCCUUCAGUUUUACAGUCCAAGAGAUCAGCCUGAUCUUUGCUCUCACUCAUCUGCUUCCCUAUGGUUUUCCGCUGCUCAUCCUGAAUUUCACGCAAUGUUGUAGACCCCUUGGCAACUUUAGCCCCACCCCAGGCUGGACCUUCCAUUUUAGGCGGUGGUGGGGGUGGGGGUGCAGCUACAUCUUUGGUCAUAUCAUCAAGAGCGCCACUCAAGAACAUCGACAGCCCACCCUUCCUAUUCUUCUUCUUCUUCACAGCUGUUGUAUAUGAAUUUUUAUCCUUUGACAAGUCUGCAUUUUUCACCAAGCUUGAAUUGCUUUUCAUCGAAAUACAAGUGGAUGGCUCAAGGGUAUUAGUAUUGUUAGCUGUUUCUUCAAAGAUGGUGUUGUCUUCCUGUUGGAUAUAAUCAAUCAAUUUUAAAUCAAUGAAAGAAAAAAACGAAAAUUGCAAUCGAGGGUGAAGAUAAUGCAGUAAUCUAGUUGAAACUAAAAUGUGAAAAAGGUCAGAUUGGAGCACCCUAAGAGCCAGGUACAAAACAAUGGAAGACCACAGUCAUUACUGAAAAUUAGGGCAACGUAGUUUCCAAUCAAAUGACCGUUUUGGGUGCUAGGACUACAUUUUGUUUUUGAUGAAACAAAAACACCUAUAAUACUCGAGAAAAAUAACAUAUUCGAGUCAAGUAAUUAUUUCAAAAACUUCAUUUUCGUUUUUUGGCCUAUUUAACAAGAGUUGAAGUUAUUUUUACCUCAACCUAAAUAAUAGCAUCACAACUCUUCAAAAUAGUUCAACAAAACAUCAAAAACUUGUUAUCGAAGGGGCUUAGCUCCUAACUUCAGAGAUUAAAGCCCCCAAAUAAUGAAACAAACAAAUAAAAUUUCAGCCUAACCUUAUUCUUGACGACUGAAAGCAUUUCAACAUUACAGGACCCUUCUAUAUGAUCUGGUUCUACAGCAGAUUUGGUAAAACCAGCUGAAGUUUCCAAGGGUUCUAGUUUGCAUUUGUUCCUCCUCCUAUGUUUUUUUGAUGCCACAGUGUUUUUAUUUCCUUUGUCUUCUGGAGCCAUUAAAGAUAGUUUUUCCAGCAGGUUAACCACUGGAACACCAAGAUCCAGAAGUGAACUUUCAAGGGCAGACUUGGUUUGGAGCUUUGCAAUUUGUUGUUCAUCAAGGAGAUAUCCACAAGACUGUUUUGAUUCAAGCAUCUCAAUUUGCUGCAACUUCUUCCGCAAGGCACGAAUUUGUUUGGAAAUGGCUUCAUUUUGAUUACCUUCGUGGAAAAAAGAAUCUGAACUUCGUUCCAUUUCUUUUGUCAUGUUACUCAUCAAAUGAUUCUCUCGGGACCUUAAAAUCUCAUUCUCACUAUCCUCCUCUUCACUGUUAAUAAUGACAGGCAAAGUAGCAGUCACAGUUGGGAGUCGACGAUAGCUCCAUGGCUCAGAUGACUUUAGGUCUAACAACUUCUCGAGCUUAGCCAUAACAUCUGGAGAAGCAUUCGCAAUAGCUUGUGAUGCCACUGUAAAAAUGUAGUCAAGGUUCCGGAUAGCUAUGUCCUGGAAACAAUUAGCAAAUUAAAAAUUAGUUGCAAAAUAUCCUAUAAGUUUAUUGCAUUAGGCCAAAUUUGACAAUUUAAGAAGAAAAAAAGAAACGGAACAGCCGUAUUAAAAUUAAAGUUGAAUAAGAA